CAACGAGCAACACGACAUACUACCGCCC
Molecule: small RNA, 28 nt
Filed under: Bombyx mori (domestic silkworm)
Lineage: Eukaryota; Metazoa; Arthropoda; Insecta; Lepidoptera; Bombycidae
Description: ovarian small RNA-12801
Source: RNAcentral